This 458-nucleotide long non-coding RNA is filed under the name Helianthus annuus (common sunflower). RNAcentral's name for it is "hypothetical non coding rna". The record is from RNAcentral. Lineage: Eukaryota; Viridiplantae; Streptophyta; Magnoliopsida; Asterales; Asteraceae.
UGAAAACAUGAUACUUGUGAGUCUUAUACGCUAUGUGAACGUUGAAUCAUGUGUUUAGCCAACCUUAACAGUUAUAGCGCUUUAGGGUUAACGCACCGCCCUUUAAACUUGGGGUAUUGUUAAGUUUGAUUCUUUUACCUCCUCUUCGUGGCAACGAUGUAGGAAAGGCACAGUUAACGCGUUGGGAACUUAGGUUAACAUAUUGAUCACGUGAGCUUAGCAUGUUGAUACUUGUAAUAUGUUAUUCAUGUUGGACAUGAGAUUCACAUUUUAAACUAUUUAUGCUAUGUUGAUAGUCGCAGUGAAUCAAGAAUCAAGCUAGGGUGACCUUACAUACACACCUUAGAUAAAAACAAUAUUUUGGUCAUGUUUGAAAUUUUGGAAUGUUUUUGAUACAAUUUUGAUCGUGUUUGGUUUGUAUGACAAUUUAGAUAUGAUUAUGAAAAUUUGAUUAAUCU